GGGUGGGUAACACGUAGGGAACCUGCCCGCGCACCGGGAAUACGCUCUGGAAACGGAGAACAAAUCCCGAUGUACAGGAAGGAGGCAUCUUCUUUCUGUGAAACAUCCUUUCGGGGAUGGGGCGCGGAUGGACCUGCGGUGCAUUAGUUGGUUGGCGGGGUAAAGGCCCACCAAGACGAUGAUGCAUAGCCGGCCUGAGAGGGCGGACGGCCACAUUGGGACUGAGACACGGCCCAGACUCCUGCGGGAGGCAGCAGUAGGGAAUUUUCGUCAAUGGGCGCAAGCCUGAACGAGCGAUGCCGCGUGAGUGAAGAAGGCCUUCGGGUCGUAAAGCUCUGUUGCGGGGGAAAAAAGGCAGCAUCAGGAAAUGGGUGCUGACUGAUGGUGCCCCGCCAGAAAGUCACGGCUAACUACGUGCCAGCAGCCGCGGUAGUACGUAGGUGGCGAGCGUUAUCCGGAAUGAUUGGGCGUAAAGGGUGCGCAGGCGGUCCUGCAAGUCUGGAGUGAAACGCAUGAGCUCAACUCAUGCAUGGCUUUGGAAACUGGAGGACUGGAGAGCAGGAGAGGGCGGUGGAACUCCAUGUGUAGCGGUAAAAUGCGUAGAUAUAUGGAAGAACACCAGUGGCGAAGGCGGCCGCCUGGCCUGUUGCUGACGCUGAGGCACGAAAGCGUGGGGAGCAAAUAGGAUUAGAUACCCUAGUAGUCCACGCCGUAAACGAUG
RNAcentral lists this ribosomal RNA (721 nucleotides) under uncultured bacterium. RNAcentral describes it as "bacterial SSU rRNA". It matches the Rfam family "Bacterial small subunit ribosomal RNA", at positions 104 to 811 of the family's 1533-position model. The record is from RNAcentral.